GACGAACGCUGGCGGCGUGCUUAACACAUGCAGGUCGAACGGAAAGGCCCUGCUUUUGUGGGGUGCUCGAGUGGUGAACGGGUGAGUAACACGUGAGUAACCUGCCCUUGACUUUGGGAUAACUUCAGGAAACUGGGGCUAAUACCGGAUAGGAGCUCCUGCUGCAUGGUGGGGGUUGGAAAGUUUCGGCGGUUGGGGAUGGACUCGCGGCUUAUCAGCUUGUUGGUGGGGUAGUGGCUUACCAAGGCUUUGACGGGUAGCCGGCCUGAGAGGGUGACCGGCCACAUUGGGACUGAGAUACGGCCCAGACUCCUACGGGAGGCAGCAGUGGGGAAUAUUGCACAAUGGGCGGAAGCCUGAUGCAGCAACGCCGCGUGCGGGAUGACGGCCUUCGGGUUGUAAACCGCUUUCGCCUGUGACGAAGCGUAAGUGACGGUAAUGGGUAAAGAAGCACCGGCUAACUACGUG
This 468-nucleotide ribosomal RNA is filed under the name uncultured bacterium. Its description in RNAcentral is "partial 16S ribosomal RNA". It matches the Rfam family "Bacterial small subunit ribosomal RNA", at positions 28 to 507 of the family's 1533-position model. The record is from RNAcentral.